This 497-nucleotide ribosomal RNA is filed under the name uncultured bacterium. RNAcentral's name for it is "partial 16S ribosomal RNA". It matches the Rfam family "Bacterial small subunit ribosomal RNA", at positions 28 to 507 of the family's 1533-position model. The record is from RNAcentral.
GACGAACGCUGGCGGCGUGCCUAAUACAUGCAAGUAGAACGCUGAAGCGAGGAGCUUGCUCUUCUUGGAUGAGUUGCGAACGGGUGAGUAACGCGUAGGUAACCUGCCUUGUAGCGGGGGAUAACUAUUGGAAACGAUAGCUAAUACCGCAUAACAAUGGAUGACACAUGUCAUUUAUUUGAAAGGGGCAAUUGCUCCACUACAAGAUGGACCUGCGUUGUAUUAGCUAGUAGGUGAGGUAAUGGCUCACCUAGGCGACGAUACAUAGCCGACCUGAGAGGGUGAUCGGCCACACUGGGACUGAGACACGGCCCAGGCUCCUACGGGAGGGAGCAGUAGGGAAACUUCCGCAAUGGGGGCAACCCUGACCGAGCAACGCCGCGUGAGGGAAGAAGGGUUUCGGAUCCGAAAGCUCUGUUGUAAGGCAAGAAAGGGUGUGAGAGUGGAAAAUUCACACUGUGACGGUAGCUAACCAGAAAGGGACGGCUAACUACGUG